This 240-nucleotide unclassified non-coding RNA is filed under the name soil metagenome. RNAcentral's name for it is "partial contains 5.8S ribosomal RNA, internal transcribed spacer 2, and large subunit ribosomal RNA". The record is from RNAcentral.
AACGGUCUAUACCUGCGGUACCUGCGGAGGGAUCAUUAUUGAAUUCACUAUGCAAAGCUGUUUGCUGGUUCCUUCGGGGGCAUGUGCACGCUUUGCAAAAGUCAUUUCAACCACCUGUGAACCUUUUGUAGUCCUUGGGUGACGCUACUUUUCAAAGGAGACUUUGGAUUUGAAUGCUGCAGGCUUUAAAGGUCGGCUUUAUUCUACAGCAGAGCCCGGGUCUAUACAUUAUACACCCCA